UCCUGGGUGCGAAGCUUCAUGCUGCCUGGAUAGGUGUCACUUUUGCCAGGCAGCAGUUUUAUGCGGAGAGGAUCUUCCUUGAGGGUGACUCAACCAUUGUCAUUGCUUGACUUUAGAGGGGUGCUAGACAGCUCGGAUGUCAUCUUCUUAUCCAGGAUGUCUAAACUUCUCUUUGCCAAGCUGCUGCAGUCAGAGUUCA
Molecule: long non-coding RNA, 199 nt
Filed under: Elaeis guineensis (African oil palm)
Lineage: Eukaryota; Viridiplantae; Streptophyta; Magnoliopsida; Arecales; Arecaceae
Description: long non-coding RNA (EGUI_LNC025058)
Source: RNAcentral